GAUGAACGCUGGCGGCGUGCCUAAUACAUGCAAGUCGAGCGAACAGACGAGGAGCUUGCUCCUCUGACGUUAGCGGCGGACGGGUGAGUAACACGUGGAUAACCUACCUAUAAGACUGGGAUAACUUCGGGAAACCGGAGCUAAUACCGGAUAAUAUAUUGAACCGCAUGGUUCAAUAGUGAAAGACGGUUUUGCUGUCACUUAUAGAUGGAUCCGCGCCGCAUUAGCUAGUUGGUAAGGUAACGGCUUACCAAGGCAAGGAUGCGUAGCCGACCUGAGAGGGUGAUCGGCCACCCUGGAACUGGGCCACGGUCCAGACUCCUACGGGAGGCAGCAGUAGGGAAUCUUCCGCAAUGGGCGAGAGCCUGACGGAGCAACGCCGCGUGAGUGAUGAAGGUCUUCCGAUCGUAAAACUCUGUUAUUAGGGAAGAACAAAUGUGUAAGUAACUAUGCACGUCUUGACGGUACCUAAUCAGAAAGCCACGGCUAACUACGUG
Molecule: ribosomal RNA, 497 nt
Filed under: uncultured bacterium
Lineage: Bacteria
Description: partial 16S ribosomal RNA
Rfam family: Bacterial small subunit ribosomal RNA
Source: RNAcentral